RNAcentral lists this long non-coding RNA (595 nucleotides) under Ananas comosus (pineapple). Its description in RNAcentral is "long non-coding RNA (ACOM_LNC020980)". The record is from RNAcentral. Lineage: Eukaryota; Viridiplantae; Streptophyta; Magnoliopsida; Poales; Bromeliaceae.
UAAGAGAGAAAUAUGACGCCCCCGACUUCCCAAGGAGUCACCCAUCUUAGAACUAUUUCCGUCCUAGCACGCUUAACUCUUUUAACCUCUUAGACCUAGCCACCACCCAAAAUGCUUAAGUCGGAUUAAGAGUUUAGCCCUGUUAUAUUUUAUAUAUAGGACUAUCUGGGGUCUCAUAAUCUCUCUCCCUUUAAACCCUGACGCCCUAGUCAGACUUAGACUCAUAAGUAUCAGGCGAUGUGAGACUCGUCUCAUUAGCCUAAACUGACCUUGUGGUGAGUCACAGUCCACCUACAACAGUCAAUAGUAUGAAAGCCUCGUUCUCCCUGCUGUACAAUUCUAGCUCAACCGAGACUUAACUCACACUUUCGACUGGUAAUUGGCUCUAAUACCAACUGUGACACCCUGACUUUUCAAAGGGUCACCCAUCUUAGGACUACUCCCAUCCUAGCAUGCUUUAUUCUUUAAACCUCUUGGGCCUAGCUACCACCCAAAAUACUUAAGCUGAGUUAAGAGUUUAGCCCUAUUAUAUCAUAUAUAUAGAAUUACCUAGAUCCUCACAAUAAAUCUCUCGAAAUCUCAAUAUCCCCAAUUG